AAAAAAAACAAUACAAUUUUUUUCUAGUGAUGAAAAAACAGAUUUUUUUUUUGUAAAAGAAACAAAUCUUGUUUAAAAAAAAAGUGUCCAUUGGCAGCAUAAGGAAUUUUUUAAUUUUUAUCUCAAAAAUUAUGCUGCUUUCAAGUGUCAAAAAGUGAAAUAUAAGGAGUUUUUAAGGAUUUACAAAAAAUACAAUAUUUUAUGGUUUUAUUUUCGAAAAAGUUUCAAAAGUGACUUGUCAGUUUCUUAGUUUUGAUUCUGAUUUUUAAAAUAGCUAGUUUUGAAUAGUCUUUUUUCUGUAAAUAUUGGUUCUUAACUUUCGCCAAAAAUAUGAAUUGUUCUGGACUCUGUUUGGUAAAAAAUAUUCAUAUUUUUCUGAAAAGUUGUGGCUAGUUUUUUGAGGAAGUGCUUUGUUGGAGCGAGUGCCUCAGGAAUCCCAGCUCUAGCAAGUGUUUAGAAAAAAGGCCGACGGUUUUUUUAGUUUUCUGUUUUGGAGUUUGAGACCUUUGAGGUUCUAAAAAUAUGCCAGUUUUUCAACAGAAAGUUAAAGGAGGUUUCUGUGCCUUGGAAUUAGUUCAAAAUUUAUUUAGUUUAUAAAAUUAGAUCAAAGUAUCUAUUAGUUCUCAAGUAGUUUGUAGCCAAUUCUUCGUGUUUUCCAGUUAUGGUUUAAAAUAAAUAAGCAUAAGAUUUUGUAUAAAUUUAUUUAUAAAAUUUCUGACUUUUGAAACUUACUGCUUAGUUUGUGUCUAAUUAUGUAUGUCAUGCACACUGAGAAAAAUACUGAAAAUACUGAGAAAAAUGUUGAAAAAUAGUGGCUUUCAAGAAAAAAUGUUUAAUAGAAUUGUAAUUUAUGUUCAAAUUUUGUGGAGUUUGUAUGGGAUUUUGUGUUUUUUGUUUAGAAAAUAAUAUUCUAUUUAGAAAAGAGACAAGAAAGUUUAUUUUUUAGAAGUAUUUUGAAAACAUUACAAAAGUCUUUAGAAUGUUGGUUUUUAGAGACUUAAAAGUUAAAAAAUAAUAGUAAAUAAAAGUCAGGUAUAUCUUCCUUCUCUUAAUUUAAAUUUUAAAUUGUGCUUAGGAAUUUUUGUUAGAUUCAAUUUUCAUUUUUAAAUGACAAAAUUUUAUUCGAGAGUUUAAGUUUAUUUUUUUAUAAAUUUUCUAAUUAUUUUACUUAGUAUUUUUUCGAAAAGUUGAAAAACAUAUUUUCAAAAUAAACAAAUAAAAAAGUAUUUCAAAAAGGAUAUUUUUGAAAGAAAAACAAUAACGAUCAUGUCCUUUAAGCCCUUCCUAGUACCGUUAGCUGCGUAGCCUUUGUCUUGUCCUUUUGCCCUUCUCCCCUCUUUUUGGCUCGUCCUUUGGCCACAAACUUUUCCAAAACAUAUGGCAGACGUUUGCCGCCCCCUCCGGCCACCCCCGCCUCCCAAGUGUUGCAUUCUGACUAGAUUACGCAUACGCCGCAUUGACCGCUCCGAAGAGAGCGAGAGCCCGCGACAGAGAACGAGAGCUGCAGUUUUGAGUGAAAGAGCGUAAGAGUUAUGCUGCCGCUGCCCCUGCUGCUGCGUUGGCUGCAUUUCGCUGUCGGCGUCGCAGCUGCGUUUGUGGCCGCUCUUUGGCGAAGCGCGUGCGGCGCUCUUAGAAGCGAAAAAGAACAAAAAAAGUACAAAUAAUAGUAAUAAUCCCAAAGAGGCAGGCAGCCAGGCACUUUUAUGCCAUUCGGAUGAGACUCUUUUGUUUUUUUUUUUUUUGGUAAAACGCCGAAGCCCAAGUUCGUUGCCUCUGCUGCUGCCUCUGCCUCUGCCUCAGUCGGUGGCUCUGUCGCUGCCACUGCUACUGCCACUGCUGCUUCUUCUUCUUCUCUCUCCUUUUGGCGAUUUUUGGCCCCCCAAACGGUUUUCGGCUUUUCUGUCGGCUUUGGACUUUCGCAGAGAUUUCACACGCGAUGCGAUUGCAGUUCUUGCAGACACUUUCAUACGUUCGUUCGUGUUCGUUUAUUUUUGUUUGCAUUCUGCCUUAGCCUUUGGAUUCCAAAACCAAAUUCGAAAUAUAUUUAUGGGACUAACGGCAGUUGUACUAAAAAAAACAAGAUACAAAAAAUAAAUCUUUAAAAUUAUCUAAAAUAAAUAAUUAAAGCCAAAAAACACGAUAUUUUCAUUUAUUCGGAACACUACGCGCGCAAUUUUUAUCGUAUUGCAUAAACUCAAACACAACUACAACAACAACAAAAA
Molecule: long non-coding RNA, 2222 nt
Organism: Drosophila ananassae
Lineage: Eukaryota; Metazoa; Arthropoda; Insecta; Diptera; Drosophilidae
Exons: 2
Source: RefSeq, a predicted model, not a curated record